ACCUACGGGGGGCAGCAGUAGGGAAUCUUCCACAAUGGGCGAAAGCCUGAUGGAGCAACGCCGCGUGGGUGAAGAAGGUCUUCGGAUCGUAAAACCCUGUUGUUAGAGAAGAAAGUGCAUGAGAGUAACUGUUCACGUUUCGACGGUAUCUAACCAGAAAGCCACGGCUAACUACGUGCCAGCAGCCGCGGUAAUACGUAGGUGGCAAGCGUUAUCCGGAUUUAUUGGGCGUAAAGGGAACGCAGGCGGUCUUUUAAGUCUGAUGUGAAAGCCUUCGGCUCAACCGGAGUAGUGCAUUGGAAACG
This 305-nucleotide ribosomal RNA is filed under the name uncultured bacterium. Its description in RNAcentral is "bacterial SSU rRNA". It matches the Rfam family "Bacterial small subunit ribosomal RNA", at positions 337 to 634 of the family's 1533-position model. The record is from RNAcentral.